CUCACAGGCGCCGGUCUGGGUUCAGAUCAGUUCCGUUCUCUGGUCUCCCAAGGCCCUUGGUUUAUGGGAUGCCUGCAGACGGAAGCUUUCCCCCCGUCAGCAGGUCUCCACUGAAUCAGCGGCAGGAGUCCUGGAUGAUCCCCCGAUCACGCGGCCCCUCCCCCGCUCCUUCCCGACCCCUCCCCCCCACCGCAGCAAUCGCAGACUCUAGGGGAGGGAGCGAUGUUCUCUCCUACCGUUCCAGCGCCUCCGAGGCUACAAAGAAAGGGGGGCAUGAGGUAUCAAGGACCUUGCCCUGGAGUCACUAAGCUGCUCCUGGACUAGAUGAUGAUGAUAAAGAUGCUAAUGAUGAACCCCACAAACUGAAGUUCUGUAUCUAUCCUGAAGAAGAUACUUUCUGAAUAGUCUCUAACUUAUAUUUUUACAUACAAUAUUUUCACGUGCAUUUUCUGCUUCAUAUAAUCACUCGAAAAAAAUUUGUCCUUAAACCUAAGACUAGAACUUUAAGCAAUGUAACAAUACGAUUGACUUUCGGGAUAAUAAAGUUUUUCUUGAAAUUUUGUCUGCCACCCACGUUUCUAUCUGUCUCUCAUUGGCAAGUCUGAUAUUUGAGUUCUUUCCUUGGAGAGGAAUGAUAGGAAGUUCUGUCCAUCAGGUAGCAUGUAAAAAAUACUCACACAGUAUGAUACAUUGGUUUGAUUUCUUUAGCAGCUUUCAGCAA
Molecule: long non-coding RNA, 721 nt
Filed under: Equus caballus (horse)
Lineage: Eukaryota; Metazoa; Chordata; Mammalia; Perissodactyla; Equidae
Description: lncRNA (ENSECAG00000045227.1)
Source: RNAcentral